CACCGCGGUUAGACGGGAGGCUCGAAUUGAUGCUACACGGCGUAAAGCGUGAUUAAAAAACAAACAGACUAAAGCCAAACACCUCCUAAGCUGUCAUACGCUACUGGAUAAGACGAAGCCCCAUAACGAAAGUAGCUUUAAUACCUUUGAAUACACGACAGUUAAGAAA
This 169-nucleotide ribosomal RNA is filed under the name Serrivomer sector (sawtooth eel). RNAcentral's name for it is "partial small subunit ribosomal RNA". RNAcentral also lists the same sequence under 1 other name. The record is from RNAcentral. Lineage: Eukaryota; Metazoa; Chordata; Actinopteri; Anguilliformes; Serrivomeridae.